AAUCAACGCUGGCGGCGUGCCUCAGACAUGCAAGUCGAACGAUUAAAGCCCUCUUCGGAGGGUGUAUAAAGUGGCGUACGGGUGAGUAACACGUAAGUAAUCUACCUUCGAGUGGGGAAUAACGUCGGGAAACCGACGCUAAUACCGCAUAAUGCAGCGGCAUCUAUGAUGACAGUUGUUAAAGAUUUAUCGCUUGAAGAGGAGCUUGCGGCAGAUUAGCUAGUUGGUAAGGUAAUGGCUUACCAAGGCGACGAUCUGUAUCCGGUCUAAGAGGACGGUCGGACACACUGGCACUGAAUAACGGGUCAGACUCCUACGGGAGGCAGCAGUCGGGAAUUUUGGGCAAUGGGCGAAAGCCUGACCCAGCAACGCCGCGUGAAGGAUGAAGUUUUUCGGAAUGUAAACUUCGUAAGAAUGGGAAGAAUAAAUGACGGUACCAUUUGUAAGGUCCGGCUAACUACGUGCCAGCAGCCGCGGUAAUACGUAGGGACCAAGCGUUGUUCGGAUUUACUGGGCGUAAAGGGCG
RNAcentral lists this ribosomal RNA (526 nucleotides) under uncultured bacterium. RNAcentral describes it as "bacterial SSU rRNA". It matches the Rfam family "Bacterial small subunit ribosomal RNA", at positions 28 to 569 of the family's 1533-position model. The record is from RNAcentral.